GACGAACGCUGGCGGCGUGCCUAAUACAUGCAAGUAGAACGCUGAAGAGAGGAGCUUGCUCUUCUUGGAUGAGUUGCGAACGGGUGAGUAACGCGUAGGUAACCUGCCUGGUAGCGGGGGAUAACUAUUGGAAACGAUAGCUAAUACCGCAUAAAAUUGAUUAUUGCAUGAUAAUUAAUUGAAAGAUGCAAUUGCAUCACUACCAGAUGGACCUGCGUUGUAUUAGCUAGUUGGUGAGGUAACGGCUCACCAAGGCGACGAUACAUAGCCGACCUGAGAGGGUGAUCGGCCACACUGGGACUGAGACACGGCCCAGACUCCUACGGGAGGCAGCAGUAGGGAAUCUUCGGCAAUGGGGGGAACCCUGACCGAGCAACGCCGCGUGAGUGAAGAAGGUUUUCGGAUCGUAAAGCUCUGUUGUAAGAGAAGAACGGGUGUGAGAGUGGAAAGUUCGCACUGUGACGGUAUCUUACCAGAAAGGGACGGCUAACUACGUGCCAGCAGCCGCGGUAAUACGUAGGUCCCGAGCGUUGUCCGGAUUUAUUGGGCGUAAAGCGAGCGCAGGCGGUUAGAUAAGUCUGAAGUUAAAGGCUGUGGCUUAACCAUAGUAUGCUUUGGAAACUGUUUAACUUGAGUGCAGAAGGGGAGAGUGGAAUUCCAUGUGUAGCGGUGAAAUGCGUAGAUAUAUGGAGGAACACCGGUGGCGAAAGCGGCUCUCUGGUCUGUAACUGACGCUGAGGCUCGAAAGCGUGGGGAGCAAACAGGAUUAGAUACCCUGGUAGUCCACGCCGUAAACGAUGAGUGCUAGGUGUUAGGCCCUUUCCGGGGCUUAGUGCCGCAGCUAACGCAUUAAGCACUCCGCCUGGGGAGUACGACCGCAAGGUUGAAACUCAAAGGAAUUGACGGGGGCCCGCACAAGCGGUGGAGCAUGUGGUUUAAUUCGAAGCAACGCGAAGAACCUUACCAGGUCUUGACAUCCCUCUGACCGCUCUAGAGAUAGAGUUUUCCUUCGGGACAGAGGUGACAGGUGGUGCAUGGUUGUCGUCAGCUCGUGUCGUGAGAUGUUGGGUUAAGUCCCGCAACGAGCGCGACCCCUAUUGUUAGUUGCCAUCAUUCAGUUGGGCACUCUAGCGAGACUGCCGGUAAUAAACCGGAGGAAGGUGGGGAUGACGUCAAAUCAUCAUGCCCCUUAUGACCUGGGCUACACACGUGCUACAAUGGCUGGUACAACGAGUCGCAAGCCGGUGACGGCAAGCUAAUCUCUGAAAGCCAGUCUCAGUUCGGAUUGUAGGCUGCAACUCGCCUACAUGAAGUCGGAAUCGCUAGUAAUCGCGGAUCAGCACGCCGCGGUGAAUACGUUCCCGGGCCU
Molecule: ribosomal RNA, 1369 nt
Filed under: uncultured bacterium
Lineage: Bacteria
Description: bacterial SSU rRNA
Rfam family: Bacterial small subunit ribosomal RNA
Source: RNAcentral